RNAcentral lists this ribosomal RNA (492 nucleotides) under uncultured bacterium. Its description in RNAcentral is "partial 16S ribosomal RNA". It matches the Rfam family "Bacterial small subunit ribosomal RNA", at positions 28 to 507 of the family's 1533-position model. The record is from RNAcentral.
GAUGAACGCUGGCGGUGUGCCUAACACAUGCAAGUCGAGCGACCACACGAGGAGCUCUCUCCCCUACCGUUAGCGAGUGACGGGCGGGUAAGACGUAGAUAACCAUCCUCUUUGUCUGGGAUAAUAACGGGAAGACGCUGACACUACUACAUAAUAUAUCCAACCGGAUGGAUCAAUAGAUCUUCGCGCUUUUCCUGUUAGUAUUAGCCGAUGCCGCAUUAGCUAGUUGGCUUGGUAAAGGCCUACCAAGGCAACGAUACGUAGCGUGGCUGAGAGGAUGAUCAGCCACACUGGAACUGAGACACGGUCCAGACUCCUACGGGAGGCAGCAGUAGGGAAUCUUCGGCAAUGGGCGAAAGCCUGACGCAGCAACGCCGCGUGAGUGAAGAAGGUCUUCGGGUCGUAAAGCUCUUUUGUUAGGGAAGAACAGAAGUAUGAGUAACUAUGGACGUCUUGACGGUACCUAAUGAAAAAGCCACGGCUAACUUCGUG